RNAcentral lists this transfer RNA (56 nucleotides) under Pseudoterranova decipiens sensu lato Antarctica. RNAcentral describes it as "tRNA-Ala". Lineage: Eukaryota; Metazoa; Nematoda; Chromadorea; Rhabditida; Anisakidae. The record is from RNAcentral.
GGGUUAUAUUUUAAUUUUAAAAUAUAUGCUUUGCAAGCAUGAGAUUUUUAGCUCUA